RNAcentral lists this unclassified non-coding RNA (1128 nucleotides) under Leishmania donovani. Its description in RNAcentral is "gene:LdHU3.24.1620(CDS-product:hypothetical_prote in_conserved)". Lineage: Eukaryota; Euglenozoa; Kinetoplastea; Trypanosomatida; Trypanosomatidae. The record is from RNAcentral.
UAAUUUAGGUACAACGGAAAAGUGAUGCCUCCGCGCAAGGUAGACGCGCAAGUCAGCGUGGUGGAAAAGAUCGUCGAGCGACCGUCCGUUCUCGACGUGACGUUGGCGAAGAUCGAUGUGAACCAGUACGACGCUGCUUACCCUUUCCGGCUUAGGGUCGUUCUCUGUGGGAAGAAAAAGCGCACCUCGCUUGAUGAGACCUGGGAGAAGCUGGCUGCGGAGAUAAAGCUACAGUGCGACAAAGCGAAUCCUUUCUUCGAUGCCUCUCAGAACAGCCAGCUUGGGUCUUUGAUCAUGGACUACGGAGAGUAUUUUAUGCAAAUUGUCGAAGGUCCAGAAGGCUACGUUUUCCGCUUUGCAGAGGAGAUGAAGUCAGUGCCGCUCGUCGAUACAAACAGCGUGCGCAUUCUGUUUCUCGACGACGAUGUCCCCACCACUAUUUGCGUCGGAAUCACCCUGAUAGACAAAGUGCCACCCUCAUCUUUGGUGAUCAGCUCAGCGGAGAAGAGCACGGAAGAAGUUACGCAAGGAGUUGCACACGACUUGUCAUCUAUUCUAGAACUUGCUUCUCAGGGUAACAGCCAGAUGGGAAGGAUGAAGAGCGUGUUUGCUGAGAACGCCAAGGUGAACUACCCAAAGCUGUUCCCCAAAGUGGAAAUGCUUGAGGCGUAUAUUAAUAGCGACAGCUUUUUCACUCUUGACGAGUUUGUGGACAAUUUCUGCAAACCUGCGCAUCUGGCCCGCGAUGAGGAAAUCAAUCACCCCGCGGCAGACCCGCUGAAGCACUGAUGUAAAAACAGCGCGCACUGGCGCUGUCAUGCUUUUGAUGUACGGAGACGAAGUGAAAGUCAGACGCCUGUUUGGAUUCUUUAUCAAGUCGUGGAGAUUACCAUUGUGACGGUAAAAUGAACCCGUGCGGUUUACGCAAACAGGCAAACACAAACGCAUGAGCUAGGCUUGGGAACAGAUAAAAAUGUCACUAGGCCGACAAAGAGGGCGAAGAUCGCAGCUAAGUCCCAUGCGAAAAGGUAUAAUAUGCCAUGAUCGCAUUGGCGUUUCCUCGGCCUCUAACGACAUCUUUCUUUCUACCCGUUUUUGUGAUGGAUCACCGAUACUCUGCUUUCCCAG